This 433-nucleotide ribosomal RNA is filed under the name uncultured bacterium. Its description in RNAcentral is "partial 16S ribosomal RNA". It matches the Rfam family "Bacterial small subunit ribosomal RNA", at positions 29 to 507 of the family's 1533-position model. The record is from RNAcentral.
AACGAACGCUGGCGGCAUGCCUAACACAUGCAAGUCGAACGAGACCUUCGGGUCUAGUGGCGCACGGGUGCGUAACGCGUGGGAACCUGCCCUUAGGUUCGGAAUAACUCCCCGAAAGGGGUGCUAAUACCGGAUAAUGUCUUCGGACCAAAGAUUUAUCGCCUUUGGAUGGGCCCGCGUUGGAUUAGCUAGUUGGUAGGGUAAAAGCCUACCAAGGCGACGAUCCAUAGCUGGUCUGAGAGGAUGAUCAGCCACACUGGGACUGAGACACGGCCCAGACUCCUAGGGGAGGCAGCAGUGGGGAAUAUUGGACAAGGGGCGAAAGCCUGAUCCAGCAAUGCCGCGGGAGUGAUGAAGGCCUUAGGGUUGUAAAGCUCUUUUACCCGGGAUGAUAAUGACAGUACCGGGAGAAUAAGCUCCGGCUAACUCCGUG